RNAcentral lists this ribosomal RNA (246 nucleotides) under uncultured Solirubrobacter sp. RNAcentral's name for it is "partial 16S ribosomal RNA". It matches the Rfam family "Bacterial small subunit ribosomal RNA", at positions 796 to 1041 of the family's 1533-position model. RNAcentral also lists the same sequence under 1 other name. Lineage: Bacteria; Bacillati; Actinomycetota; Thermoleophilia; Solirubrobacterales; Solirubrobacteraceae. The record is from RNAcentral.
CACGCUGUAAACGAUGGGCACUAGGUGUGGGGGGUGUCGACUCCCCCCGCGCCGUCGCUAACGCAUUAAGUGCCCCGCCUGGGGAGUACGGCCGCAAGGCUAAAACUCAAAGGAAUUGACGGGGGCCCGCACAAGCAGCGGAGCAUGUGGUUUAAUUCGACGCAACGCGAAGAACCUUACCUGGGCUUGACAUGUUGAGUGCCGUCGUGGAAACACGACUUCCCUUCGGGGGCUCAUCACAGGUGG